RNAcentral lists this ribosomal RNA (2057 nucleotides) under Citrobacter freundii. RNAcentral describes it as "bacterial LSU rRNA". It matches the Rfam family "Bacterial large subunit ribosomal RNA", at positions 1 to 2103 of the family's 2925-position model. The record is from RNAcentral. Lineage: Bacteria; Pseudomonadati; Pseudomonadota; Gammaproteobacteria; Enterobacterales; Enterobacteriaceae.
UUAAGCGACUAAGCGUACACGGUGGAUGCCCUGGCAGUCAGAGGCGAUGAAGGACGUGCUAAUCUGCGAUAAGCGUCGGUAAGGUGAUAUGAACCGUUAUAGCCGGCGAUUUCCGAAUGGGGAAACCCAGUGCAAUUCGUUGCACUAUCAUUACGUGAAUACAUAGCGUAAUGAAGCGAACCGGGGGAACUGAAACAUCUAAGUACCCCGAGGAAAAGAAAUCAACCGAGAUUCCCCCAGUAGCGGCGAGCGAACGGGGAGCAGCCCAGAGUCUGAAUCAGCUUGUGUGUUAGUGGAACGGUCUGGAAAGUCCGACGGUACAGGGUGAUAGUCCCGUACACCAAAACACACAGGUUGUGAACUCGAAGAGUAGGGCGGGACACGUGGUAUCCUGUCUGAAUAUGGGGGGACCAUCCUCCAAGGCUAAAUACUCCUGACUGACCGAUAGUGAACCAGUACCGUGAGGGAAAGGCGAAAAGAACCCCGGCGAGGGAGUGAAAAAGAACCUGAAACCGUGUACGUACAAGCAGUGGGAGCCUCUUUAUGGGGUGACUGCGUACCUUUUGUAUAAUGGGUCAGCGACUUAUAUUCUGUAGCAAGGUUAACCGAAUAGGGGAGCCGAAGGGAAACCGAGUCUUAACUGGGCGUUAAGUUGCAGGGUAUAGACCCGAAACCCGGUGAUCUAGCCAUGGCAGGUUGAAGGUUUGGUAACACUAACUGGAGGACCGAACCGACUAAUGUUGAAAAUUAGCGGAUGACUUGUGGCUGGGGUGAAGGCCAAUCAACCGGGAGAUAGCUGGUUCUCCCCGAAAGCUAUUUAGGUAGCGCCUCGUGAACUCAUCUUCGGGGGUAGAGCACUGUUCGGCUAGGGGUCAUCCCGACUUACCAACCCGAUGGCAAACUGCGAAUACCGAAGAAUGUUAUCACGGGAGAACACGGCGGGUGCUAACGUCCGUCGUGAAGAGGGAAACAACCCAGACCGCCAGCUAAGGUCCCAAAGUCAUGGUUAAGUGGGAAACGAUGUGGGAAGGCACAGACAGCCAGGAUGUUGGCUUAGAAGCAGCCAUCAUUUAAAGAAAGCGUAAUAGCUCACUGGUCGAGUCGGCCUGCGCGGAAGAUGUAACGGGGCUAAACCAUGCACCGAAGCUGCGGCAGACACUUACGUGUUGUUGGGUAGGGGAGCGUUCUGUAAGCCGUUGAAGGUGUGCUGUGAGGCAUGCUGGAGGUAUCAGAAGUGCGAAUGCUGACAUAAGUAACGAUAAUGCGGGUGAAAACCCGCACGCCGGAAGACCAAGGGUUCCUGUCCAACGUUAAUCGGGGCAGGGUGAGUCGACCCCUAAGGCGAGGCCGAAAGGCGUAGUCGAUGGGAAACAGGUUAAUAUUCCUGUACUUGGUGUUACUGCGAAGGGGGACGGAGAAGGCUAUGUUGGCCGGGCGACGUUGUCCCGGUUUAAGCGUGUAGGUGUGUGUUCCAGGUAAAUCCGGAAUGCUUUAACACUGAGGCGUGAUGACGAGGCACCACGGUGCUGAAGUGACAAAUGCCCUGCUUCCAGGAAAAGCCUCUAAGCAUCAGGUAACACGAAAUCGUACCCCAAACCGACACAGGUGGUCAGGUAGAGAAUACCAAGGCGCUUGAGAGAACUCGGGUGAAGGAACUAGGCAAAAUGGUGCCGUAACUUCGGGAGAAGGCACGCUGAUAUGUAGGUGAAGUGAUUUACUCAUGGAGCUGAAAUCAGUCGAAGAUACCAGCUGGCUGCAACUGUUUAUUAAAAACACAGCACUGUGCAACGAAAGUGGACGUAUACGGUGUGACGCCUGCCCGGUGCCGGAAGGUUAAUUGAUGGGUUUCCGUAAGGAGAAGCUCUUGAUCGAAGCCCCGGUAAACGGCGGCCGUAACUAUAACGGUCCUAAGGUAGCGAAAUUCCUUGUCGGGUAAGUUCCGACCUGCACGAAUGGCGUAAUGAUGGCCAGGCUGUCUCACCCGAGACUCAGUGAAAUUGAACUCGCUGUGAAGAUGCAGUGUACCGCGGCAAGACGGAAAGACCCGUGAACCUUUA